GGCUCAGUGGCGCAAUGGUAGCGCAUUGGACUUCUAAUUCAAAGGUUGUGGGUUCGAGUUCCACCAGAGUCG
Carassius carassius (crucian carp) is the source of this 72-nucleotide non-coding RNA. The record is from the annotation of a RefSeq genome assembly. NCBI's taxonomy places the organism in Eukaryota, Metazoa, Chordata, Actinopteri, Cypriniformes, Cyprinidae.